UACAAUUGGCCCGAAGGAUUAGAGCCUCAAUCAAUUGCAGAGUUGUACAGUGGAAAUUGAUUCUUGAUUGCUCUCUCAUGAUGCUUUGUUAAAACUACUGUUUUACAGCAACGUAAGUGGUCCUGUUCAGAUUGGAAUGCAUCCAAUUUUUAAAUGACUUUGCAAGUUUUAUAUUUAGGAUUUACUCUUUGUUUGGAUAAGGGAAACGAAGAGAAAUUAAAUAGAAGGGGUGUAGAGAAAUGAAAAGAACUCGCGUGCGCCGUUCCAAGAGUAGAUUUACAACUCCAAGGCCGUUCCAAUUCAGAAAAGUCAAUUAAAUCAAUCAUAUGUUUCCACGCAUUUUUAACGAGCGUGAGAUCAAACUCGUCAGAUCAUUCGCAAGCACGUGCCAAUAUUUUAUGACGCCGGUUCGGUUGGGGUCCGGUUCACGUUCAGCGCUCAAUAUUUCAGAGAAAACCGCCAAUGGAGGAGUGCAGAUUCGAGACGAGACUAGAGAAGAAAGUCGAGGAAAACUCGGAAACUACAAAAGGUUAGUUUCUGGAGAAACAAACGGAGAAAAGAAAUUACCGAUUUGGAGGAAGAUCACGUUAAUAGUGGGAGUAGCAGCGGUGUCUUGGAAACGGCAAAGGCUGAUAGAUCGGUAUGGUUGAUGAAGUGUCAGUUAGUGGUCGCGAAGUCAUGGCAGAGUCAUUCUUCUUCUUCAGAUUCUCACCCUCUCGCUAAGGUCGUUGUCUCACUCGAUCCUCCGCUCCGAGGAUCCCUCUGCUUUGCAGGAUAUAUUUUCCCCAUGAUCGCAUUUCACCUUUCUUUCAUGUUUCCCAAAUGGUUAUCAGUUCACUAUGGAGAUGGGUGGCAUUGGUUCUGGGAAUGUACCUAGGAGUUAUUCUCUGAACAUGUUUAAAGACUUAAUUCCAAUGUAUGUCUUUUCUGAGACAAGUAAAGGAAGGGUUGCCAUGGAAGGGAAAGUGGAACAUAAAUUUGACACGAAGCCCCGUGAGGAAAACAUAGAGGAGUAUGGAAAAUUAUGCCGUGAAAGAGCAAAUAAUUCCAUGAUUAAGAAUAGGCAAAUACAGGUAGGGAAUUUGGUGGUUCUUUUGUUUUGCUACUAUUGGUCUCAUAUGAUUAUGAUAUUAUUUUUGGUUUGAAUGAUUUCUGUACAAGGUGAUUGAUAAUGACCAAGGAAUGCACGAGACCCAUGCCUGGAAUGAUUGGCUUGAUUUCAACUAACUCAAAGGAAUGAAACUGUGAACUUUAUUGUCAAUUGUCUGCGAGCAGGAUAAGAAGAAAACAGUACCAGUUAAACAGUCAGACAUGAAGAGAACCAGGAGGGAUCAUGGGGAAUUAGAGGAUAUCAUGUUCAAGCUGUUUGAAAGACAACCAAAUUGGGCCUUGAAGCAACUUGUACAAGAAACUGAUCAACCUGCGGUGAGACUUCUGUCUUUCUUUCUUAUUGUUCUUAUUUUAUUUUUAUAUUUUCCUAUGCUUCUCAUUGAUUAAAAUGCCAUGCAUUUUGUUCCAGUUUGCCAGUAAACAUAACAAUCUUCGUGUUAAUCAUGCCUUAUUAAUUAAAUAGUUGAAAAUUUCCUAUCUUAUCUGAUUAGUUGAUUUGGUGGCAUCUGAACACAAAUCCAUGGGAGGGUUUACAAGCCAAGUACCGUGAAGCUUUCCUAAACUAAACAAUUUGGCAAUACAAUCUGUUGCCCUAUUUGCUGAUCUCUUUACCAAAAAGAAAGACACAUGCUGACCAUCUUUUCUCCUUGUCAAUGUUAUCAAGGCGAAAGGCGA
This 1785-nucleotide unclassified non-coding RNA is filed under the name Hevea brasiliensis (rubber tree). Lineage: Eukaryota; Viridiplantae; Streptophyta; Magnoliopsida; Malpighiales; Euphorbiaceae. The record is from RNAcentral.